AGCCGUCUCCUCUCUCUUUACCUCACUCUUCGCGGCAGUGCUCGCCUCUCUGUCCACACACGCCCGUGCAUCUUCGACCCCCUCGCCCCGCUCCCGUCCGCCCAACGCACCAAGCAAUGGAGUAUACGGUCUCUCUUUUGCUCAUUGUCUUCUCGCUCCGCGAUUGAAAUGUGCCGAGCAGGUGUAAUAGUCAACCCCCCUCUCCACACACACGCGCACGUGUAUACCCUCCCUCCCUCCCUCUCACCCUCUUACUAUUGGCGUAGUUCUGCGGGGAGUUUCCGAUACAUCUGUGCCGCUGUGCAGAGUCCUUUUACACUUGGUAACGUGUCUGAUUAGCACACACACACACACGCACACACACGCACACACACGCACAUCACAUUCAAGCACACAUACACACACGCUCCGCAAGCUCAUUUACAGUAUUCGUAGAUCGACGAAUCCACUCAUCUCACAAGUGUGUGUGCUCUUUGCCUUCACCGUUUCCGUUUUGUUACCCCCGAAACACCACUUACACCAUCACGGCUACUCCCAACUCACAAACGAACCCCCCUCCCCGACACACGGAGCGGCACACACACACACACACACACGUACGCACGUACACAUACAGGCAUCCGUUUUUUUGCGGUGUGCUGCCUUUUUCCAUCCCUUUUUUCCCCUGCCCCACCCUGCUGACUGCGCGCCGAGACUUUUUUAUCGCUCGUUCUUCGCAUUCAUUUGCUUGUGCCUCGUGUCCUUCUCUCUGCGCGCACUGCCCAGAUCGUGAGCUUUUUGGGUGAGGAUACGUGUGCUUCCUCUGCUGCUUCUGCUUGCUCCCCAUCUCUUCCUCCGCUGCCGCUCGUUGCAUCUUCCAUUCGCACCCGACGGGGCUUCGACGAGAUCCAGUUGUCUUCUCUUUGAGAAGUGGUUCGUACUCUCUCGUCUCUGAGCGGACCUCGGUGUGCGGCACUGCACGAGUGAAGAGCCGCUGCACUCGCCCGGUCUCUGUUUUCGUCCCUCUAUCCUUUCCUGCCGCUUUUCCCUUUUCCGUUUGUGCGCGAAGUUCAUGAUCGGCGAGUCAUGCGACAGCGCACGGUAUCGCGGUCCCGCGCGCGCAGUCAGAUCCGCAUCUCUGCCGCAGAGGAGGAUGAUCUGCGGGUAGGCUUGCAAAGGUUUCUGGACAAGCUACGCCAGCACCAGCCUCUCUUCACCGAGGAUGAUGUGACGGCCAUUUCCUUCCCCCCAGAGGGCAGCAGCAGCAGCAGCUGUGUCGGUGGCGGCUCACCUCACUCGUCCGCCUCCACGUCGCCGCGGCACUCGCCGUCUCGCGCCGACAACGAGGAGGCGACGCUGGAUGGCACCUUCAAGGGCGGCGGCUCCUCUCCGUCGAUGGCCAAGUGCAGAAAGGUUCCCGCCGCAUCUCCCAGCACAACGGGUUCACCGACCUUCGCCUCUGCCAGCGUCAUCGAUCUAGACGUGCCGCUCUCUGCGCCUCUGUUCCUCACAGCCGUGAACAUCUUCGAGGCAAAGUUACUCUCAAAGAGCAAGCGGGUGUCCACCGACGCGCUCAAACUUGUCCGACAAGCCUACGCCCUCGUGUGGAGAGAUCCAGGCUACCUGGCGACGCUCAUGAACGGAGAUCCAUGCUUGGCGGGCUCAAGCAGCACCGGCUCCUCCACAACACCACCAGAUGGUUGGAGCCGUAGACCCAGCUCUGUGCCUCUAGCCAGCUCCCUUAGUAAGCCCCACUUGACGUGCCAAGCCCUGUUCUCCGCCUCCGCGCCCGCGCCGACACAGCGACCGGACAGGCGGCUGGCGCUGCAGCUGGACGAGUGCAUUCGAACACUGCUCGUGUACGCGAAUACGUCGGUGAAUCUUUGCCAGAGUGUCUCCACCAACACGCGUACACUUCUACUGCUCGCCUUUGUUACCUGCGCCGCGCGGCGUCUGGAGGAGGAGGACGACGUGCCGUACGGUGACGGCCCCGGCUCAGUCGCGGACAUCGUAGUCGGUAACCGAAACCUGCACGCCGAGAUGAAAAAGCUGGAGAGCUUGUGGCGCAGUUGCGGCAUCGAAGGACGCGUCGCAGACUACCUGCGCGAAUGCUACCUGGUCGAGUUCCUGUUAGACGCUGCGCUGCCGCCGGCGGUGUGCUCGGCGCGCUACGACGGCCUGCAGAUGGCUGUGCACGAGAAGAAGCAGCGUAUCAUUUCGGAUGUUGUGGCGAGCCGCGCUGGCUUCGCGAGCAUGAUGCGAAUGGCACCGCUGCGAGGCUUGUGCGGUCUGGCAAACAUGUCCGCGUUUGGAAAUUCGAAGUUGCGGGCGAGGUUACUGGACAAGAUGGCGUCAGAGGGGGUCGUGGAGCGGCUGGCGGCGGAAAUGGCUGCAGCGAUGGAAGCCGUUCUCGCGCCCGACACCGCCACCACGACACCGGCACACAGCUCGACAAAGCGACCGCGCCAGAGCGCAGUGUACGGUGGCUCACCCGCGCACCAGCGAUCCCGCGCCGGCGCGUCCAGAUCGGCGAGCCGUCAAGGAUCGCUCGAUUCUGUCUCGCCUGCCGGCAAGGAGCGCCGCGCGAUGACGAUCGCGAGGGCUUCCACAUCCUUGGAGCGACUGUUGGACAGCGACCCUACCCCGGUGGAGCGCAUUGGUCAGUGUGUAGAUAUAUUGAUGCUGCUCACAUGCCCGGAUUUGCGGCCGCCGGACGGCGGAGAAGAGUCUCCGUCUCGUUCGUCGACUUCGUCUGCAUCGGCGGUAGUGCGUUCCACCACGUGGGCCUCCCGUGACGCUGCGCUGCAUGAGAUAUGCUUGUAUCUCUUGGCUAUCUGCUUCGUCUCAAAGACCCAUGCGCGAUACGCGGAGUUGUCGUCGUUGCAGCUCUACGCGGCGGAUUGCAUGCUGCAGUGCGCAGCAUACAGCGGUGCCUUUUACGCCAUGGUGGUGCACGCCAUGGAUGUGUUAAUUGAUAUGAUAGAGUCCAUGUCCGCCGCUCCAGUCGCCAGCGCCCAAAGGACGCCGCUUUCGUCGGGAAGGGCGUCAUGCUCUCGCCUUGUGUCGCCUCAAAAGAAUUGGAGAAAGGAUGCCGAGGAGGGAGACCGGCUUGACAGCGAACGCGGCCGCCGCGUGCUGCAGCAUCUCCUACCCGGAGAUGAAGCCGGUCUGCUGCCGUUGCUAACAAAUCUGCUGCAGUACACGAUUCACGCCCAGGCAAAUGCCAAGUCAAUACGCCGAUGGUUCGGCUUCCUAGCGGAUCGGUUGCUGCCGGAGGUCUUCGAGGCCCCACAGCUCACGACUGGGCGGCGUAGCAGCGCUACAUGGGGACUUCAGCAGCAACAGGAGCAGCGGCGGCGCUCGCAAGCGGACAGCCGAGCUUCCCGGCUGCCUGGAGCACUGGGGAACGGUUCACCGGCUGCCGCGGACGGCGCUUUUGAUGCGCCGGUACUUGCUCGAGACCUGACGCGAGCGGAGGUUGUGGCGGCUGCCCCGUACUUCUGCUUUGCGCGGCGAGCUGUGGAGGAGACGAGCUGGCGCGAUGGGACGGAGUUGCUCUUUGCCAAAGUGGUGCUCUUGGCCUUCCACGUCAUUGUGACACAGGGGCACCGGUGCAAUCUGCUGUUUGGGCAGGCGUGCGCCUGCUACGACGUCGUGGCCCCUGUGCUGCUUCUGCGGUCCUCGCAGAGCGACAACGGCGCCAGUCCCGGAAGCCGAUCCCCGCGCAGCAGCCGGCGCUCGUCCCAAAGCAGCACGAGCGCCACGUAUCGGCGCAGCACCCUCCUUAUGCAUCUAAGGGAGGAUGAGAGGGCAUCGACGCAGGCACCACUGCACUCCAACGAAGAGGCAAGCGAGGACGGCGGUGUGGCGGGGUCGGAGGAGAGAGAAACCAAGGGGGCAGACGAGGAGAAGGAGGUAUUCAUUGGCUCGACUAUCAGGCGGCGCUCGCUGUCCACUCGCCAGCGUCAGCGCGGCAGCGCGGUGAAAGGGAGCGCUGCUUCGGCUGAGCGACAUUUAUUGGCGACAAAGGCUGGCGAGGACGAUCAGGGUUUUUCUCCCUUCAUACAGAGCCCCAGCCGCUCCCUCGUCUUCUACGAGGCUUGCUCACCAAGCGACACUGAGGCGAGCAGCGACAGUCCUCUGGACAGAAGAGGUAGCCGCCGGCGACGCAGCUCAUCGAGUGACCGACGGAGUUCUGACGGCGGGAGAAGCCUCGGGGCUGCGUUAGACGAGGCAGCCUUCGCCGCACCCACCGCAAGCGCCACCUUGGCAGAGUCCCCGGAGGCGGUGACACACUCCUGGACUGGCCGCUUGUCGCUGCGCUCCUUGCUCUCCUCGAUCGGCGGUCACAGCGAAGCGCCGCUGCUGGACAAGGAAAAGCGCGCAUAGUAGAAUUGUGAGUGCCGCAGCCGGGACGCGUACUUGUGUGCGUGCAGCACCGUUUUUGUGUGUGGCUUCCUUUCUCCUUCCAGGGCAGUUCAUCUGCUGCACACGAGCGCAUGCAUCGAAUCUGGUCUUGACUCCUUCCCUGCCUCCGCCCAUGCUCACUUGCUGUCUCUUCCUCUCCGUGGGACUAGCGCGGCGCCUCCCUCUUUUUCACGUGUGUGUGGGGGGGGGAGGAGGAGGAGGCGUGUGCGGGACGCACCUUCGUUUCUCUCUCACAUAAAUUUGUUCUUUUACCUCCGUUUUCGUACUUGCUCUCACACAUUACUCUGACGUCAGCCAAGCUUCUGCUUGCAGUUUGUGUGCGGGUGGUGGUGGGAAGAAGGCUUAGAUACGGGUCUCCACGGGGGGCACAUGCGAACAC
This 4786-nucleotide unclassified non-coding RNA is filed under the name Leishmania donovani. RNAcentral describes it as "gene:LdHU3.32.4110(CDS-product:hypothetical_prote in_conserved)". The record is from RNAcentral. Lineage: Eukaryota; Euglenozoa; Kinetoplastea; Trypanosomatida; Trypanosomatidae.